GCUUGAACAAGGGUGUGGAGUUUGUGGUAUUGAUCUUUUGUGUUCUUGAUUCUACAAUCAAGAGAGGUAGCAAAUAGGAUUUCUCUAUGGCACGCGUGGUGACGUGAGGAGUUCUUCAUCAUGGGGUGUAUGGCGUGGAGCAAUCCUAUGGACGAUAAAACGAUCAACGUAGAACGCCAUUUAAAUUAUGUUUUGUUUUAAGGGACUUUUCCUAAAUUAUCAGUGGGACUCUGUUAUUUAACUUAAUUGGUUUUCUUUGAACUUUGCAUAAAAACCUAUGUUUUAUUUUAAACUUAUGGCGCCAACUUGCAUGAUUUUAAAUAAGUCCCCCUGAGACUUUAAUAAUGGAUGGUAUUCUUUUAUAAGCUA
Molecule: long non-coding RNA, 369 nt
Organism: Humulus lupulus (European hop)
Lineage: Eukaryota; Viridiplantae; Streptophyta; Magnoliopsida; Rosales; Cannabaceae
Exons: 2
Source: RefSeq, a predicted model, not a curated record